AUGCCGGGUUACCGGAGGACACCGCCUGCUACGGACACCGCUGACCCCGGCCCCGCCGGGCUGCCUGAGGGGAGCGGCGCUGCAGGGCUCUGCCGCCCCUUUUCUGAGGUGAUCGCCGCUGUGCUAAGCCACCGGACCCCCCCCGAGGGACACGGCCCCGUCCCUGGGCCAGCGCGGGGGCUGCGAGAAAACGGAGUACCGGGAGAGAAAAAAGAGAGAAAACGCGUUUAUUCCCCAACGCGCUCCUCACAGCCCGCGCCGCGCGGGGCUGCCCCUCAUGGCGGAGGGCGGGCGGCCGCGGUGAGGCGCGCAGGUGUGUGGCCGCGCACCUCCGCCCUUCCCGGGCGGCUCCCCCCGGCCUCCUCCUCCUCCUCCUCCUCCUCCUCCUCCUCCUCCUCGUCCUCGUCCCUGUCCCUGUCCCUGUCCCCGAUCGGGGUCGGCGGCCACGGCGCGGCCCCUCUGAGGAGAAGCAGGGAGGGGCGGGGGCAGCAGCAGCACGCGCCGCUUCCCGCGCACCACGCGCGGCCACCGCCGCUUCUGCCGCUGCCGCCGCUGCCCUCGGCGGCUCCGCGGCCAUUGACGUCAGCGCGGGCCGCACGUGACCCCCCCGCAGCCAAUGGGCUGAGCCCGGAGCCGCUCCGGCGAGCGAGGCGAGCGCUGCCGGCAGCCUCCCGCCGCCUCCUCCUCCUUCUCCUCCCGCGGCGGCGGCGGCGGCGCGCGGGGCCAGCACACACAGACACACACAGACACACAGACACACACAUACAUCCACACCCCUCUCUCUCUCACACACACACACACACACACACGCACAGGCAGAGACCUCCCCGCGCGCCCCAGCCCGCCCCGCACCGCCCGGCCACGCGCGGGCACCCACGCACCCACCUACAUGCACGCGCGCGCCCGCCCCGGGGGGAAGGAAGGAGCCGCGGCCGGACGCCCCGCAGCCCCCGCCGCCAGCACCGCCACCGCCACCAGCAGCAGCAGCAGCAGCAGCACUACCACUACCAGCAGCAGCAGCAGCCCCCGCCGGGACCACCGCCGCCCCCGCCCCGCUCUCUCCCGGCCGGCAGCGUGGAUGUGGCGCCGUGCGAGCCGCCGGGGGACCCGCCGGGGGGCGGACCGCCGACUCUGAGGCCGGGGCUCGGCCGCUGCCCUUCUCCCUUUAACCCCCGCGGUGUGUGCGGAUCCCUUCCCCCACGGCGAUUUUUUUUCCUCUUUUUUUUUUUUUCUCUCUUUUUUUUUUUCCCCCUCCUUUUUUCCCCUUUUCCCUUUUUGUCCCUCCUUUCCCCAUCCUUUUCUCCCCUUUUCCCACCCUCCUCCUAUUUUCCCCCAUUUUUUUUUCAAAUUUUCCCCUUUUCCCCUUUUUUUUCUUUCAUUUUUUCCCCUUUUCUCCCCUCUCCCCCCCAUUUUCCCCCCCUUUUUUUUUCCUUUCUUAUUUAA
RNAcentral lists this long non-coding RNA (1443 nucleotides) under Cairina moschata (Muscovy duck). RNAcentral's name for it is "domestica (muscovy Duck (domestic type)) lncRNA (ENSCMMG00000007612.1)". The record is from RNAcentral. Lineage: Eukaryota; Metazoa; Chordata; Aves; Anseriformes; Anatidae.